ACCUCAUCCCGAUUCCGGAUGCCAUAACUGAAAGAGAAGUAAAAGCACAGAGCGUCCAAUCUACAGAAGGGCACGUUUGUGACUCCUCACCUGAGGCUUGUGCGGGAUAACAGAGACCAGCCCUGAACCGCUGCUGGAGAGGAGCCGCAGGGCCCCUUCCACUGCUUCUCUGUGUCCCGUCCUGGCAGGGAGGCCUCCAGGGAGCUCCUUGCAGGAGGGCCUCAGUCCAAACAGGGACUCUCCUGGUCUCACACAUUCCCCAGGAACUGAUUUAAGAUCCCUCCUUCCCUUACGAGCCUCUGGAGAGGACCCCAGCCGAAUGGCAGGGCAUGGGGAAUCAGAGGGCCACAGACCAGAUACUUUCCUGCAGCUCAAGGCAUAGCCUGAACUUACUCUCGGAGCUUCCUCUGGUCCUCUGCGAGCUUCUCUCCUGCAGAGGUCAGGUGGUACGUCCUCCACACAUAGGACCUGCAAGAUGGGAAUUCAGUCAACCACGAGCAGGGUGAGCAGGGCAGCUGGGAUGCAACUGUGCCUGAGGAGGGCUCAAGGCGCUCAGCUCUGCGGGGCCUGAGGCCACCAGCCUCCUCCUUGGGCUCUUUCCCUGUACCUUGUGUGUACCAGGCCUGAGGCAGGUUCAAGGACGCACUGCUCUCAAAGGGAUGCAUGGGGUGGCUGGGGGCCAAACCCACGUUGCUAAUGAAACGGGUGGCUGUACCAAGACACAGUUAACCGGACACUUGAUCCAGAAGGAGACAGAGCUGAGAGCACCCAGGCGAGGAGCUGGCAGCUGCACCAUCUGUAACCAGGGAAACCACCUCCAGGCACACCGCAAGUGCCCUAAGGUGUCCUCACGUGAAGAUACCCAGCUGCCUGGGUGGGGUGAUGUCAGUGAAGAACAGCUGAGGCAGGGCUCGUGGCACAGAAGCACCUGCCCUGGCCGAGGCUUGGGACAGGGAGCUCGUUGCUCCAGGCCACACUCUGGAGCAGAGCCCAGGUGAUGAAAAGGCUCAUGUCCAGCAAGAGGUCCUGUGAAGUCCAGCUCCUAGGAAGGGCUGCAAGGAGGAGCUGUGGCUGCACUCACCAGCUGAUGUGCUGAAUGCCCCCUUCGCGCUCCUGCCUGAGCUGCAGGUAUCUCUGGAUGGCCUUCUUCAGGUCCAGGACUGUGGCGUUCUGGACUACAACCACAGCUGCACAGAUGGGAGAAGAUCCGUGGUGGGAAUCCACAGCCACAGCCUCAGAUGGCAGGAGAGGAACCCAGAAGCUUCUUCCUGAGGCUCAAGGCUGGGCAGGGGGAGCUUGUAGCUGCCCCAACAACCCUGGGCACGGCCCUGAGUUUCCACUGACCAGCCCUGCUAACAUCUUCUCCCGUGAAGGUUCAGACUGCACGGCCUGAGGGGGAGGGCAGCACUUACGCAUAACUUCUCCAUCCAUCUUGCACACUCGGACUGUCAUUGCUUGGCCGUAUUCUAGUGCUAUUUGGGAAUUGACCUCUUCCAAAGUAACCUAGAAAAGACCAAGGCUGGAGGUGGGAGCUCUCUUCACCACCCCAAACAACAAAGAAAAACAGCUGACAGUCUUCAAAAAGUGGUGCCACAUUUUUGGGAGGUUCUUGCAUAUAUGUUAGGAUUUCCCGGUUUUUCAGCACUUUAAUCUCAUGUCUUAUCCACGUUUUCUAUGAAGUGGAUGGACGCUCGGGAGAAAUGGGCAAGGAGAAUGAAUCGCCUUGAGGAACAGCCCCUGGCUCCUCCGGGCCAGGUGCUGGGUGGGAGGAGGAACACUGGGCCCCACCUUCCGGCCUGAGAGCCCCCGAUCAUCAGGAUCCAGGGCCUCAGGCAAGGCUGGGGCACCAAAAAACGGUAAAAGAUGAACAUGUCAAUACAACCGUUAACGCAACAGAAGUUAAUUUAAAAAUUCCACGAUGGGCAAAAUAACAAGGACUUUAAAACAUGAGUGCCAAAACUCACUGAAGAUUGAGGAGAAAGGAAAAACCGGUAACAGUGAUCUUUUAUUUGAAAAUAUUAUUUUGUUUGCCGUAGGCUUUUAUAAACCAACUUUGCGUUUUAAAAACACGGAUGAAAAGUCA
Aethalodelphis obliquidens (Pacific white-sided dolphin) is the source of this 2083-nucleotide long non-coding RNA. RefSeq lists it as uncharacterized. The record is from RefSeq and is a predicted model, not a curated record. Lineage: Eukaryota; Metazoa; Chordata; Mammalia; Artiodactyla; Delphinidae. The transcript is spliced from 2 exons.